AUACGGAAGGUCCGGGCGUUAUCCGGAUUUAUUGGGUUUAAAGGGAGCGCAGGCGGAGAUGCAAGCGUGACGUCAAAUUUCGGGGCUCAACCCCGUCUCGCGUCGCGAACUGCGUCCCUUGGUUGCGGGAAGGGGAGGCGGAACUCGUGGUGUAGCGGUGAAAUGCAUAGAUAUCACGAAGAACUCCGAUCGCGAAGGCAGCCUUCCGGCCCGUCAACGACGCUCAUGAUCGAAGGUGCGGGUAUCAAACAGGAUUAGAUACCCUGGUAGUCCGCACAGUAAACGAUGGACACCCGCGGUUUGGCCUAUAUGGCUGAGCCGCCAAGCGAAAGCGUUAAGUGUCCCACCUGGGGAGUACGCCGGCAACGGUGAAACUCAAAUGAAUUGACGGGG
RNAcentral lists this ribosomal RNA (393 nucleotides) under uncultured bacterium. RNAcentral describes it as "partial 16S ribosomal RNA". It matches the Rfam family "Bacterial small subunit ribosomal RNA", at positions 523 to 918 of the family's 1533-position model. The record is from RNAcentral.